GAUGAAGAACGCAGCGAAAUGCGAUACGUAAUGUGAAUUGCAAAUUCAGUGAAUCAUCGAGUCUUUGAACGCACAUUGCGCCCCCUGGUAUUCCGGGGGGCAUGCCUGUCCGAGCGUCAUUGCUGCCCUCAAGCACGGCUUGUGUGUUGGGCCCCGUCCUCCGAUCCCGGGGGACGGGCCCGAAAGGCAGCGGCGGCACCGCGUCCGGUCCUCGAGCGUAUGAGGCUUUGUCACCCGCUCUGUAGGCCCGGCCGGCGCUUGCCGAUCAACCCAAAUUUUUAUCCAGGUUGACCUCGGAUCAGGUAGGGAUACCCGCUGAACUUAAGCAUAUCAAUAAGCGGAGGA
This 345-nucleotide unclassified non-coding RNA is filed under the name soil metagenome. RNAcentral's name for it is "partial contains 5.8S ribosomal RNA, internal transcribed spacer 2, and large subunit ribosomal RNA". The stretch from base 1 to 119 matches the Rfam family "5.8S ribosomal RNA", at positions 35 to 154 of the family's 154-position model. The record is from RNAcentral.